AUUGAACGCUGGCGGCAGGCCUAACACAUGCAAGUCGAGCGGAUGAAGGGAGCUUGCUCCUGGAUUCAGCGGCGGACGGGUGAGUAAUGCCUAGGAAUCUGCCUGGUAGUGGGGGAUAACGUCCGGAAACGGGCGCUAAUACCGCAUACGUCCUGAGGGAGAAAGUGGGGGAUCUUCGGACCUCACGCUGUCAGAUGAGCCUAGGUCGGAUUAGCUAGUUGGUGGGGUAAAGGCCUACCAAGGCGACGAUCCGUAACUGGUCUGAGAGGAUGAUCGGUCACACUGGAACUGAGACACGGUCCAGACUCCUACGGGAGGCAGCAGUGGGGAAUAUUGGACAAUGGGCGAAAGCCUGAUCCAGCCAUGCCGCGUGUGUGAAGAAGGUCUUCGGAUUGUAAAGCACUUUAAGUUGGGAGGAAGGGCAGUAAGUUAAUACCUUGCUGUUUUGACGUUACCAACAGAAUAAGCACCGGCUAACUUCGUG
Molecule: ribosomal RNA, 484 nt
Filed under: uncultured bacterium
Lineage: Bacteria
Description: partial 16S ribosomal RNA
Rfam family: Bacterial small subunit ribosomal RNA
Source: RNAcentral